YUACGUGCCAGCAGCCGCGGUAAUACGGAGGGUGCAAGCGUUAAUCGGAAUUACUGGGCGUAAAGCGCACGCAGGCGGUCUGUCAAGUCGGAUGUGAAAUCCCCGGGCUCAACUUGGGAACUGCGUUUUGAACUGGGUAGCUAGAGUGUGUCAGAGGGGGGUAGAAUUCCACGUGUAGCGGUGAAAUGCGUAGAGAUGUGGAGGAAUACCGAUGGCGAAGGCAGCCUCCUGGGAUAACACUGACGUUCAUGCUCGAAAGCGUGGGUAGCAAACAGGAUUAGAUACCCUGGUAGUCCACGCCCUAAACGAUGUCAAUUAGCUGUUGGGCAACUUGAUUGCUUAGUAGCGUAGCUAACGCGUGAAAUUGACCGCCUGGGGAGUACGGUCGCAAGAUUAAAACUCAAAGGAAUUGACGGGGACCCGCACAAGCGGUGGAUGAUGUGGAUUAAUUCGAUGCAACGCGAAGAACCUUACCUGGUCUUGACAU
Molecule: ribosomal RNA, 487 nt
Filed under: uncultured bacterium
Lineage: Bacteria
Description: bacterial SSU rRNA
Rfam family: Bacterial small subunit ribosomal RNA
Source: RNAcentral